GACGAACGCUGGCGGCGUGCCUAACACAUGCAAGUUGAGCGACGAACCAGGGCUUGCCCUGGGGCAAAGCAGCGAACGGGUGAGUAACACGUGGGUAACCUACCCCGAUAACCGGGACAACCCGAGGAAACUCGGGCUAAUACCGGACGUGCUCACUGGACUUCGGUUCAGUGCGUAAAGGAAGCUUCGGCCUCCGUAUCGGGAGGGGCCCGCGGCCCAUUAGUUUGUUGGUGAGGUAACGGCUCACCAAGACCGCGAUGGGUAGCUGGUCGGAGAGGACGAUUAGCCACACUGGGAGUGAGACACGGCCGAGACACCGAGGGGAGGCAGCAGUGGGGAAUCCUGCGCGAUGCGCGAAAGGGUGACGCAGGAACGCCGCGGGGGGGAAGAAGGCGCUCGGGUUGGAGACCCCUGUCAGGAGGGACGAAGGAACGGCGGUGAAUAGCCGUCCGGACUGACGGUACCGCCAGAAGAAGCCCCGGCUAACUACGUG
This 493-nucleotide ribosomal RNA is filed under the name uncultured bacterium. Its description in RNAcentral is "partial 16S ribosomal RNA". It matches the Rfam family "Bacterial small subunit ribosomal RNA", at positions 28 to 507 of the family's 1533-position model. The record is from RNAcentral.